Molecule: ribosomal RNA, 226 nt
Filed under: Escherichia coli
Lineage: Bacteria; Pseudomonadati; Pseudomonadota; Gammaproteobacteria; Enterobacterales; Enterobacteriaceae
Description: partial 16S ribosomal RNA
Rfam family: Bacterial small subunit ribosomal RNA
Source: RNAcentral
AAAUUGAAGAGUUUGAUCAUGGCUCAGAUUGAACGCUGGCGGCAGGCCUAACACAUGCAAGUCGAACGGUAACAGGAAGCAGCUUGCUGCUUCGCUGACGAGUGGCGGACGGGUGAGUAAUGUCUGGGAAACUGCCUGAUGGAGGGGGAUAACUACUGGAAACGGUAGCUAAUACCGCAUAACGUCGCAAGACCAAAGAGGGGGACCUUCGGACCUCUUGCCAUCA